UUGCAACCUCCGCCUCCUGGGUUCAAGCAAUUCUCCUGCCUCAGCCUCCUGAGUAGCUGGGAUUACAGGCGCCCGCCACCACUCCCAGCUAAUUUUUGUAUUUUUAGUAGGGACGAGGUUUCACCAUGUUGGUCAGGCUGGUCUCAAACUCCUGACCUCGUGAUCUGCCCUCCUUGGCCUUCCAAAGUGCUGGGAUUACAGGCGUGAUGGAGAUGAUACUCCCUAAAUCACAAGGGUGUGGUGUGAAGAUGAAAUGGCUGCACGUGACAGAGGAGUUGGAGAACAGGAAGCAAGUGGAUUACUUGGAUGAACUGUGAUGGGCCCAAGAAGAACUAAGCCAAUCACUCCAGGGGGCGUUUUCCCAGGAUCCAGGCAGAGAGCUGAUUCCAGCAUCCACGUUGUAUCCCCCUCCCGCUGUGGCCGGGGUCUCCAAGAGCCGGGCACCCACUGCAGAGCUUCCAAGCCCAGGCCCAUUUGAACACAGGAGGACUUUUGAGGUUCAUUUAACCCCAAAAUCAGUGAUUCUACAUCUCAAGCUCAUAUUUUGAAGUGUUUACGGAGAAAGGAGUUCAUGAAGGCAGAAAUGCCUGGGGCCCACGAACAUCCCAGUGUGGCCCUGGACGGGACAUCAUGCUGGGCAACACAGCUAAAAUGCGGGUGAAGACCAGAUUUCUUGCACAUGGCGGUGACGGGAUGCUCCCUAGAGAGCUUCAAGUGGAUUCUUUGCUUUUUAUUUUCUCUCUUAAUAAAAAUGUAUGAUGUUUACAUUGUCAGAGAACAA
RNAcentral lists this long non-coding RNA (781 nucleotides) under Homo sapiens (human). RNAcentral's name for it is "HSALNT0381463". The record is from RNAcentral. Lineage: Eukaryota; Metazoa; Chordata; Mammalia; Primates; Hominidae.